GAUGAACGCUGGCGGCGUGCCUAAUACAUGCAAGUCGAGCGAACAGACGAGGAGCUUGCUCCUCUGACGUUAGCGGCGGACGGGUGAGUAACACGUGGAUAACCUACCUAUAAGACUGGGAUAACUUCGGGAAACCGGAGCUAAUACCGGAUAAUAUAUUGAACCGCAUGGUUCAAUAGUGAAAGACGGUUUUGCUGUCACUUCUAGAUGGAUCCGCGCCGCAUUAGCUAGUUGGUAAGGUAACGGCUUACCAAGGCAACGAUGCGUAGCCGACCUGAGAGGGUGAUCGGCCACACUGGAACGGAGACACGGUCCAGACUCCUACGGGAGGCAGCAGUAGGGAAUCUUCCGCAAUGGGCGAAAGCCUGACGGAGCAACGCCGCGUGAGUGAUGAAGGUCUUCGGAUCGUAAAACUCUGUUAUUAGGGAAGAACAAAUGUGUAAGUAACUAUGCACGUCUUGACGGUACCUAAUCAGAAAGCCACGGCUAACUACGUG
RNAcentral lists this ribosomal RNA (497 nucleotides) under uncultured bacterium. Its description in RNAcentral is "partial 16S ribosomal RNA". It matches the Rfam family "Bacterial small subunit ribosomal RNA", at positions 28 to 507 of the family's 1533-position model. The record is from RNAcentral.